RNAcentral lists this ribosomal RNA (360 nucleotides) under Alpheus carlae. RNAcentral's name for it is "partial 12S ribosomal RNA". Lineage: Eukaryota; Metazoa; Arthropoda; Malacostraca; Decapoda; Alpheidae. The record is from RNAcentral.
UAUUAUACCUAGUUGUAAUGAUUUAGAUCUUUGAGUAGUAAACAGUUAUGGCCUCGAAACUCAAAGGAUUUGGCGGUAUCUAAGUCCAGUUAGAGGAACUUGUGCAGUAAACGAUAGUCCGCGAGUAUCUAGCCUUAUCUUGUAGAUAUCAGUUUGUAUACCGCCAUUAUUAGGUAGUCUUUAAAGAGAUUUAUUAUAAUAAAGUUAUGUUUAGUAUAUUAGGUCAAGGUGCAGCCAAUGAUAGGGGUGUUGUGAGUUACAAUAACAUAAGGGUUACGCGGAUGGGCUGUGGGAGUUGCAGCUUUGAAGAUGGAUUUAAUUGUAAGGGGUGUGUAUGGCGCACGUNUGAUAGGGGCUCUU